ACGUCAGAAAGCUUCCACCUUUCCAGUUUCCUCAAAUAGUUUCUCAUUCAAAUUCAAAUUCACUAUUUCCCCAAUCCAGAUCUGGAAAACAAAUUCCAUAACCCAGAGAGAGAGCCGAUGGAAACGCCCUUGAUUCAACCGAUCUUCAUAUAUAAGUUUUUGACCGAUUAUGGUUUUUCGAUUCGUCGUCUGUAGAGAUGAAGAUCGUCUUCUUCAGGUGUUUACAACGAUCUCGGAGCUCCAGAUCUGAGCAUAAGUUUAUCACGGCCGGUGCUCGGCGGCGAGCAACAUCCGUACCCUAGGCGGUGCCGUACUGGUCGCCCGAUGUCCACCAAAGGGUUAAUAUAUCAUUGUUUUGUUUGAGGAAUAAAUUGAAAAUCACUGUUGGAAUUGGAGCAAAAAUUAGAGAUCUUGAAUUUGUUUUUCGUUCAGAAGGGAAAAUAAAGCAUAACAAUGCUUCAGCAAUUGAUCUCAAUGCUAAAGAUGAUGGUCCAUCAUGUGUUGAUGACACAACUUUAUCGCAAUCGAAGAUGAAUUGUGUAAAGUCGAGAGGUUUCACAUUUGAUCUAAACAUCGAAGAUGAUCAAGAUCAAGUGAAACCGCGCGAUUCAUUGUCGGAAUGUGGGAGUACUUGUCAUUUUGGGGGUGAGCGAGACUCGGUGAGGGUUGGAACAAAAUGAAGCGAAACGGGUUUUUAAUAAGUUGCUGGAAAUAGAAAUCAAGUAAUCUGCUUUACUUCUUCAUCAGCAUUGUUGUUGUUCAUGGUUUGAUGGUUGUUUUCCUUCGACAUCAUGUUCGUUGCUGAAGGAUUUGAAGAGCUCUUCAAGGAAAUCACCCAGCUACUAACACCGAAGAUCACCUGACAUAGCAGGAACGAUUAUUGGUUCAUUCGGUUGAUGAUCUUGUACAUAGCGUGUGCGCAUAAGAUAUGGUGGUGAAGAAGAGAACGGAUAGUGGAGGAUUUCAUGAUUUACUGGCCCCCGUGAUAACUAGAGCUCCUAGAUCCUUGCGGAGGAGGAUUCUACAUAACAAAUCAUUCAAAGAUGGUGGAAUUUGUGCUUUUGAGUUGUUGGCAAAUGUAGCCGACAAGCUAUUACUGAACUAUAAACCGAAAAACAUUGUCGAUUAUGAUGUUGGAGACGUCGAUAAUGAACUGGCGCAAGUCGAAUAUGUCGAAAGACAUCUACAAACUCCACAAACAUGUAGAGAUGGAGAAUAUGGUGUAUUUGUACGUUGAACUGGGACUGAUGCAUUACGGGAUUUUUAUUUGACCCUUUUGACCCGUUCAAGAUAACGCACAACCCGAAUGGGUCAAACGACACGUGAUGACCCGUAUGAGGUUCACCUAACUACACCAGUGGAGGGUUAUGAUCCCAUCCAAUUUAGUCUUACAAAAAUGUGCGAAUCCAAGCAAAAUGAAGCAGGAACAUCUCCGAAAGGAUGGGCUCUAUUUGGAUCAUUUCCUGCAUAUUCUGCUGCGAUGGCUUUAUUUACAAGACUCAAGUACAAAGACAAGCAAGCUAUGCUAUUUACUCUUUCAUUAAAAUGGGUUUUUUAAAAUAUGUAUAUUUUCUCAGAAUUAUUGUUUAAUAAAAGCAGCAUGGAAUUGAUGCACUGCCUGCCAUGACCAUUUUAUCUGCAUGUUUGGAGACUGUGAGUGGUGGGGGAGGUUACAUGCAGGCGGAUGAUUUUAGUUUGUUAUUUAUUUACUUAUUUUUAUUUUAGAUUAGCAUUAAUUUAUGUUACUUCAUACUUUAAAUAAACAUUUCAUAGGAACAUUUUAAAAAAUGGAGAUGUCGAACAAGUGUCAAAACAUUAUUAUUUUAAAUUAUUU
Helianthus annuus (common sunflower) is the source of this 1834-nucleotide long non-coding RNA. RefSeq lists it as uncharacterized. The record is from RefSeq and is a predicted model, not a curated record. The transcript has 13 exons. Lineage: Eukaryota; Viridiplantae; Streptophyta; Magnoliopsida; Asterales; Asteraceae.